UUCUUCCGGCGGCCCAUCCGCGCCAUCGCCGCCGCCGCCGCCGUCGCGGCUACAACGACCGCGACGGCGCCCUCCGGCCCCUUCGCCUCCUCCUUCCGGCGCCGCCCGGCGGCGGCCUCCUCGCUUCGUUGCUGCUGGAUUCGGCGCCGCGCCAUUGCUCCAAGGCCGGCCGGCUCUCGAUCCGCUCCGACGACCUCGGCCUCUGGUAGCCGGCGCUGGCGACCUCGCCCAGUUGGGCUUCGACUCAGGGGGCCCGCUCCUGUGGCCCGCCGCGACGACGGUCCUGGAGGGCGACCGCGAGUUCCCGCUCCCGCCGCCCGCUGAGCUUGCCGCGGCGGCUCGCCGCACCUCUCCUGUGACACUAACUCAAUAAGGCACACAAUCCUCCCUCUGGGUAUUUGCAUUAGUGCACCAAAGCUGGUUAUUAAAUGAUCAGCUUUAAUGUGUUCCACAAGCUCAGAAUGACCAUGGAUCACAACACGGCGCUCAUUGCUAUGGCUGACAAUAUCCAGAUCCCGAAGCUUGGGAAGUGCCGACUCAUGUAUCUCCAACUUGUCAAGCGUCUCCUCAUGCACC
Molecule: long non-coding RNA, 576 nt
Organism: Panicum virgatum (switchgrass)
Lineage: Eukaryota; Viridiplantae; Streptophyta; Magnoliopsida; Poales; Poaceae
Exons: 3
Source: RefSeq, a predicted model, not a curated record